Molecule: ribosomal RNA, 619 nt
Filed under: uncultured bacterium
Lineage: Bacteria
Description: bacterial SSU rRNA
Rfam family: Bacterial small subunit ribosomal RNA
Source: RNAcentral
CCUACGGGAGGCAGCAGUGGGGAAUAUUGGACAAUGGGCGAAAGCCUGAUCCAGCAAUGCCGCGUGUGUGAAGAAGGCCUUCGGGUUGUAAAGCACUUUAAGUUGGGAAGAAAAAGCUCUGGCUAAUAUCUAGAGCCUUGACGGUACCAACAGAAUAAGCACCGGCUAACUCUGUGCCAGCAGCCGCGGUAAUACAGAGGGUGCUAGCGUUAAUCGGAUUUACUGGGCGUAAAGCGUGCGUAGGCGGUUUGAUAAGUCGAUUGUGAAAGCCCCGGGCUUAACCUGGGAAUUGCAGUUGAUACUGUCAGACUAGAAAACGGUAGAGGGAGGCGGAACUCCAGGUGUAGCGGUGAAAUGCGUAGAUAUCUGGAAGAACACCGAUGGCGAAGGCAACCUCCUGGGCCUGUUUUGACGCUGAGGCACGAAAGCGUGGGUAGCAAACAGGAUUAGAUACCCUGGUAGUCCACGCCGUAAACGAUGAGAACUUGACGUUGGUUUGCUUAGCAAAUCGGUGUCGUAGCUAACGCGAUAAGUUCUCCGCCUGGGGAGUACGGCCGCAAGGUUGAAACUCAAAGAUAGUGGCGUGAGAGAGCGACGACGACGACGACGGAGGAGGAGG